UACGGAGGGUGCAAGCGUUAUCCGGAAUUACUGGGCGUAAAGGGCUCGUAGGUGGCCAACUAAGUCAGACGUGAAAUCCCUCGGCUUAACCGGGGAACUGCGUCUGAUACUGGAUGGCUUGAGUUCGGGAGAGGGAUGCGGAAUUCCAGGUGUAGCGGUGAAAUGCGUAGAUAUCUGGAGGAACACCGGUGGCGAAGGCGGCAUCCUGGACCGACACUGACACUGAGGAGCGAAAGCCAGGGGAGCAAACGGG
This 253-nucleotide ribosomal RNA is filed under the name uncultured bacterium. RNAcentral describes it as "partial 16S ribosomal RNA". It matches the Rfam family "Bacterial small subunit ribosomal RNA", at positions 524 to 776 of the family's 1533-position model. The record is from RNAcentral.